This 403-nucleotide ribosomal RNA is filed under the name uncultured bacterium. RNAcentral describes it as "bacterial SSU rRNA". It matches the Rfam family "Bacterial small subunit ribosomal RNA", at positions 355 to 775 of the family's 1533-position model. The record is from RNAcentral.
UAGGGAAUAUUGGACAAUGGGCGAAAGCCUGAUCCAGCAACGCCGCGUGCGCGAUGACGGCCUUCGGGUUGUAAAGCGCUUUUGAGGGGAUGAGGAAGGACAGUACCCUCAGAAUAAGCCUCGGCUAACUACGUGCCAGCAGCCGCGGUAAAACGUAGGAGGCGAGCGUUAUCCGGAUUUACUGGGCGUAAAGCGCGUGCAGGCGGCACGGCAAGUUGGAUGUGAAAGCUCCCGGCUUAACUGGGAGAGGUCGUUCAAAACUGCCGAGCUAGAGUGCGGGAGAGGGAGGUGGAAUUCCGGGUGUAGUGGUGAAAUGCGUAGAUAUCCGGAGGAACACCAGUGGCGAAAGCGGCCUCCUGGUCCGCAACUGACGCUCAGACGCGAAAGCUAGGGUAGCAAACGG